GUAGGGAAUAUUGCACAAUGGAGGAAACUCUGAUGCAGCGACGCCGCGUGAGUGAUGAAGGCCUUCGGGUCGUAAAGCUCUGUCGCAGGGGAAUAACACAAUGAAGGUACCCUGUAAGAAAGGAUCGGCUAACUUCGUGCCAGCAGCCGCGGUAAGACGAGGGAUCCUAGCGUUGUUCGGAAUCAUUGGGCGUAAAGCGGAUGUAGGUGGCUAUGUAAGUCAGAUGUGAAAGCCUGGGGCUCAACCCCAGAAGUGCAUUUGAUACUGCGUAGCUUGAGUGUCGGAGAGGUUACUAGAAUUGUUGGUGUAGUGGUGAAAUACGUAGAUAUCAACAGGAAUACCGGAGGCGAAGGCGGGUAACUGGCCGAACACUGACACUGAGAUCCGAAAGCGUGGGGAGCAAACAGGAUUAGAAACCCGUGUAGUCC
Molecule: ribosomal RNA, 428 nt
Filed under: uncultured bacterium
Lineage: Bacteria
Description: partial 16S ribosomal RNA
Rfam family: Bacterial small subunit ribosomal RNA
Source: RNAcentral